Molecule: ribosomal RNA, 451 nt
Filed under: uncultured Eubacteriales bacterium
Lineage: Bacteria; Bacillati; Bacillota; Clostridia; Eubacteriales
Description: bacterial SSU rRNA
Rfam family: Bacterial small subunit ribosomal RNA
Source: RNAcentral
GGACCCGCACAAGCAGCGGAGCAUGUGGUUUAAUUCGAAGCAACGCGAAGAACCUUACCAGGGCUUGACAUCCUUCUGACCGGUCGGUAAAACGACCUUCUUUUCGGAGCAGAAGUGACAGGUGGUGCAUGGUUGUCGUCAGCUCGUGUCGUGAGAUGUUGGGUUAAGUCCCGCAACGAGCGCAACCCUUGUCAUUAGUUGCCAUCAAGUUAAGUUGGGCACUCUAAUGAGACUGCCGGUGAUAAACCGGAGGAAGGUGGGGAUGACGUCAAAUCAUCAUGCCCCUUAUGUUCUGGGCUACACACGUGCUACAAUGGCUGGUACAAAAGGAAGCGAUACCGCGAGGUGGAGCCAAUCAAGAAACCAGUCCCAGUUCGAUUGUAGGCUGCAAUUCGCCUACAUGAAGUCGGAGUUGCUAGUAAUCGUGAAUCAGAAUGUCACGGUGAAUGCG